GCGUCAUCGGCAUCGGGCGCCCGCAUUCCCACCGGGUUGCCCGUCUCUCUCUUAUCCAAUGACGUAACUAGUCGCUCGCACAGCGAGCUCGAUCAGUCUCGGAUCCUGCCCCGCCCUUCUGCCUUCUACUUCGACGAAAGUACUAUGUUUAAUAAAUUAAAAAAUUACGGUAUCAUUUUCUGUCUUCUCUACGUCUAUUUUUAGAUUAUUCUAAAUUACAUAUCUUUUUUACUUGCGCAGAAUGUUAGAUAUAGAAAUUAAUGUUGUUAGUUUUCUUCUCUUUCCUAUGACAUGUAUUUUACAUUUAAAUAUCAAAAUUUUAAUAAAGUGUUGAAAUGUUGAAAUAUUAAUUAUAAAUAUUUAUAGAACACCAUAUGUUGAAACAUCGCCUACUUAUUUGACCAAAGACAAUCUUGAUUUUUGUUAAAACAAAUUAUCUUGAAUGUCUAAUUUACGUGGAUCAAAUUUUUAUUGUAUAAUGUAACAAUCACUUGGAGCAUAAAACAGGAUUACAUUACUCCAACGCUUCGGAUGCAGCAGAAAGAAUACACAGAUCAGCUGAUCAGACCUCUCUUCAAAUUGUUCUAGCAAACUUCAAAUUAUAUAAUAUACAUAAAUAUAUAAAAGACCCUAUAUAAAUGUUAACCGACAAGAAGAAAGGACAAAGACUUCUUCCUGGCGCCAUACCCGUCUCACGACGGUACUGGUCGUCGCGGUCGGAUAGGUCUGGUACCCACGCGUGUCGAGUGCGGACGCGCCAAUGGCGGCGCGAAGGGAAGGCCGCGAGCGAAAGGUCGCCGCCGUCGCCGAUUUCGCUGAUACGCGUCACGGCGUAUAUGUAGCGCACUCGCCGUCAAAAAUUUCGCGCACCAUGCGAUGCGGCCGCAGCGAUCGUUCCGCUGCUGCGUUCGCGCAGCAGCGAGGAGCGGAAUUUCGAACGAUGUCGGCAGUUCUAUCAGACGCACCCCUAGCGUGCUGAACAUAGCGGUAGGUCUAGUCUAGUCUCGUCUCCCCGCCCUGGGAAUGGAAUGCGCAAACGGUUUCAAUGGGGGACCCGGGAGGUUCUGGGAACUAUGGGGCGAGAGGAGAUCUACUACCUACUUAAAGAUAUGGUUUUCCUCUUCGACAGAGAGGUUCCACAUAGCGAUGUCUCGCUUUUGUGCCGGAUAAGAUUUCGUGACAUUUGAGAACGAAAUAUGCAACUCUCUCACACACACACACACACAUAUAUAUGUCUUGAUCGCGAGAGCAUGACUCUCUCUCUCUUCCGCUUUCAUUAUUUGCUCGCUGGGAAAGUGACUUUAAAUCUCUGUAUAAUUCGAUCCGCGAGAAUAACGGUAUAAAAAAUAGUAUAUCGUUAUCUUAUCGCUUAAUUGACUCGUGCUAAAUGUCACGAUAACUCCCCCGAAAUUUAUCUGUCGCUUGGAACAGACGGCGGUGUUGAAUUCUACGCAUUUAGACGGGGCAAUUUAGAUCGCGGUUUCUGAGAAGAUGCUUUUUGUAUAGCUGCGCCGCGUGUAAAUUCUGCGUCACUGUGUGAUUCAAAUUCUCAGGGACACAAGUUUAAAAUACUUUUUUAAAAAAAGGAAACUUGUUUCUAGAAUUGCGCGUAUAACACACAUUUUAAUAUUAAUGUAGCAUGAGAAAUAUUCUCAUGUAUCACGUUCUAUAAUUUAACUUGCGCGCAAUAUUAGAAAGGUGUUUGCGACAACGUUGCAAAAUAUCUGCUGAAAUAUUAUUAACGUUUCUGGUAGCGUAGCAUCUUUUUAUCGCAAAUCGACAGUCGAAACGGGCGAAGAAAUAGUGAGAGAAAUGCAAAUGGAAAUUAAUGGUACUACUAAUCAUACUAUAUGCUAAUAGUAUACUACUAGUUACUCCACUAUACAUUAUAAUCGGAUAUUUUUCUCAGUGUGGUAAUGGAUGGUUUCUAGCAAUGAAUGAAGUAAGAAGGCGCCUAUAGUCUUCAAGGUCACGUAAAACUUAUGGCUGCGGGUCCUUUGAACCCAUGAGAAGGGAUAGUUAAGGGCUCCCCAGGCCCGUGGAGGGUUAGUCGGCUCACGACAUUCCAGUCCACGAAGACAGUUUUUUCGACAUUAAAAAGGGCUCAGCAAUGUUGGGGCUUUCAAUCACCCGGAUGCUGAUCUUCUAUUCAAAAGCGCUGCGGGAUUACUAGAGUCCUUGAAUAAAGUAGAGACAAUUUUUGUCUUUACAGUUAUGUCUUAACAUUUGAUUUUUAUUCAUACAUCCAGACAUCCAUGGAAUUUUGGAGAAUAUGACAGUUUAUAAAACAACAAAAUAUAAAUUCGCAAAAUUUCUGUUUGAUGUUGAUAACACUUCAACUACGUUAUCUACGCAAUCGCGUUGAUAUUAAGACAGUUCGCGUGGAGGAACAGAAAACGUAUGUUUCGAUGUAUGAUAAAGAUAGAAGGAUGACAGUCACGUUUGUAUAUCAAAAGUACACUUCUGUAUUUCCGUUUACGACGCUUCAUGUAAACUUGAUGAUGCAUGAUGCAUGAUGAGUAUUGCGUUAUGUUGCAUUAAUGAAUGAUGACGUCAUAUCAAGCAAGAAUAAAUUAUUCUGUAUAAAGACAUAGACUCUAACAUACACAUAUUAAAUAAAAAUCAAAAGAGAAAACAAGAUCUUCUCUUUUAAUUUCUUUUUUCUUCUUUCUUUUGUUUCUUUCUAUUUUUUAUUAAUCCUGUAAUGAACGUAUAGUUGGAGAACCACUUUACGUGCUCUUACGUAAGUUCAUCUGUCGACUGCCAUUUGUACGGUAUACCGUCACAAUAAUAACACAUUGUUGCAUCACUGACACUGAGUAAAAUGAAAUCAACUGCAAUCAAUGAUUCCUUCUUCUGUGGGUGUGACUCGGGUCAUGUCAUGUCAUAAAAGUCAGCAAUCACCUCUCCUUGUAUAGAUAUAUGACGGAUGUUUCGCACUUAUUAAGUUGCCGAGCAGCAUCUUGCAUCUGAAUCCUGCUAAUCAAAUCGUGAUUUCUUCAUCGAAGAGAUUACGUAUAUUUUUCAGUUUUCUAUGAUUCAGACUAUUAGUGGCUCUAAAAUGCCUUUCAUUUCAUUCUGCAUUCCAUUCAUUCUCUAGUUUAUACUUUUCAAAGAUUUGUGCGAGACCUCCCUGACGAGAUAGUUUCAGGCAGGUACCCUUACGCAGGUAAAAAUGUCAUGAUUAUCAUGAAAUCCUAAGAGUGGUCACGCAAUCCGUAUUAUCUAUGAACAAUCGUACCAUUCGUCGAACUAUUGCAACUCACAUAUUUGCACGUAGAUGCAAUAUACAAACUGUCGAGCUAAUAUCUAUAAAAGCUGCAUAGCGAGUUUUAUAAAAUGUUUUCAAUCUCUUUUUGGUCCAUUCCCUAUGUGUGUUAUCUAUCUUUCGGUUUAGAACAGACUUCAUCUGUAAGAAAAUAUGUCACACAAUAGGAAAUCUAAUAUAUAUUGGCAGGUUCUCAGCAAAUAAACAUAACAUAAAAUAAUAGAGGAAUAAAAUAUAAGAAAGGAAUUGUGAAUUGUCCACAGAAGAAACAUUAAUGUCCUGCGUAGCGCGCGAUAAGAGCACCUGGAAGCAUGAAAUAUAUCUUUAUACGCAAAGUAAUCGCUAAGUACCAGAAAAGUGCCUUUCGACAUGCUAGAAUGAGCGACGAAAUGUUUCCGCAAGAGUGGAAAAUUCAGAUUGAUAUUUCGAGGAGGGUUCGGCACGUGAAAGUCGCUGUCCUGUCGUGAGUUCCUUGAAGCCUUGUGGGAUCCCGAGGAGUCAGCUGCCGUUGUUAAGAAUUACAUCAGCAUGGCCGGCUGAAAGCGUCACAUCUGCCUCGCUCGUGAAACAGAUUAUCACGAGGCAGAGUGAUCUCAGAGUACAACGGAAGUCCACCAUCUGAAAGAAGAAUGAACGAAAGACCACGAAGUAUGAGAGAGAGAGAGAGAAAAAGCAAA
RNAcentral lists this long non-coding RNA (3945 nucleotides) under Ooceraea biroi (clonal raider ant). RNAcentral's name for it is "uncharacterized LOC105282016". Lineage: Eukaryota; Metazoa; Arthropoda; Insecta; Hymenoptera; Formicidae. The record is from RNAcentral.